RNAcentral lists this long non-coding RNA (1242 nucleotides) under Ornithorhynchus anatinus (platypus). RNAcentral describes it as "lncRNA (ENSOANG00000042960.1)". The record is from RNAcentral. Lineage: Eukaryota; Metazoa; Chordata; Mammalia; Monotremata; Ornithorhynchidae.
AUGCUCUGCGGCCGCCGGGGUCCCUGCGGUCCCGCGCAAAGCCCCCGCGGCGGUCGGUCCCUCAUCACGUCCCCCCGGCCGCCACCUCUCCCCACCUCCCGAGCGGAGGCUUCUCUCUUCCCUCCCUCCUUCCCCGGCGACAGAGGAGGAGAGAGGGAGAAAAAAAAAAAAAAAAAAAGAACCCACCCAGACCAACCCUUCCCCCUCCCAACGGCUGCGACCGAGUCGCCUCCGUCCGCGCGCGCGGCUGGCGCCCAGAGGGCCGAAGCCGGUGGGGCUGGCGGCGGCGGACGGCCGGGGAGGGAGGGGUGGGGGCGGCGGCGGCGGCGGGGGGGGGGGGGGGAGGGUCGGCCGGCGCUGCCCGGCCGCUGGGGGGCUGCUCCGGCCGCGCGCCCCCGGACUCGGCUCGUCUCCGUCGGCGCGGUGGGUGCCUCGCGCUCCCCCCCCCCCCGCUCUCGCGCCUCGUCCUCCCCUCCCCCCCCCGCCAACGCCGGCCUCGCGCGCCCAACGGUCUCCGAACGUUGGGAAGGCGGGAAGGGGAGGCCGGGGGGGGGGGGGGCGCGCGGCGGUCGUUUGUCUGAGGCGGCUUCUUUACCUGGCGGGGGCGGCGGCGGCGGCGGCGGCAGGGGCGGCGGGGGCGGAGGGGGCGGCGGGAAGAGGUGGCAGCCGGGGGGGCUGUGGCGGCCCCGGUCGUGCCCGUGCCGGGCUCCCUCCUCGUCGUCGUCCUCCUCGUCUUCGUCCUCCUCCUCCUCUUCGCCCUCUUCCUCCUCUUCUUCCUCCUCAGACACCACCAUCUCCUCCUCCUCCUCUUCGUCCCUCAGAGGGGAAGCCAUCCUGCGGCUCUGGCCCCCCCACCGCCCCCCCACCCACCGCCCGCCUCCCCCACCACCACCACCACCUCCUCCUCCUCCUCCUCCUCCUCGUCGUCCUCCUCCUUCUCGUCCUCCUCACCUCCUCCCCCAGCCCCCAAAAAACCCGGGCCACCCCCACCCCCCCACCUUCAACCCCUCCGUCGGAGGGGAGGGGGAGGGGGUGGGAAAAAAAACCCCAAAAAAAUUUCCUGAGGAGAAAAAUCGGGGGGGGGGGGGGGUGUGUCUAUGGAGAAAGCUUCCCCUGGGCCCCCCCCCCAGCAGGAGGCAAGAGAGCGAAAACGGGGCCAAAAAACGAUCCCUAUACUCUAUAUAUAAAAGUUUUCGACUUCUUCUCCUCUUUUCCCUCUUCUCCCCCCUCUUGUUGUUUUAA